AGGAACAAAGGGCCUGAGAGUGGAAUGAGCUUGCUUCAGCGGAGUCAGUGAGAGGCCCUGGCGCCCAGAACAUGGGAGCAAGGGAGCGGGGCCAUUGUGAGAGCAGAAAGACAGACAGGUGCCGGGUCAGGUAGGACUCUGAGGACCGAGGGAAGGAGUUUGGAUUUUACUCUGGUUCAGGGAGAGGCCUUUGGAGGGUUUCAAGUAGGGGAAAUAUGUAAUCUGAUUUUGCUUCAAGAAGACUCCUCCAGCUGGCUGCUCUGUGGAGGAAACAGACGGACGGAAGAGAGACCAUCUUCAUGAGGCCGUCAUGACCCAUCAACCAAGUGAGAUCUCAGCAUUUCCCCACUGACCAGACUGAACAUCUGACUAUUACAGUAUCUCAACAAACAAAAUGCCAGAAGGCUCAACUUCUAUGAGGCCCCGUGGGAAACAUGAACAUUUAAAGUGUAAUGGACAAACAGAAGCCUGUGAGUGAGAAAAAGAAUGGUGAGGGAGCUGGAAAGGAAAGAGAAUCAGGGGACUGCAGGUUUACGGAAGCUAAGAGAAGCAAGACUUUUUAGAAGUGACCAACAUGUCCAAACGAAACAGAAAAAUCCAGUAAAAUAAAGGAUGAGGGGCUUCCCCAUGGCUGAGUGUUUGAGUUUGCAAGCUCUGCUUUGGCGGCCCAGGGUUUCGCUGGUUCCCAUCUUGGGCGUGGACAUGGCACCACUCAUCAGGCCAUGUUGAGGCUGCGUCCCACAUAGCACAACCAGAAGGACUCACAACUAGAAUAUACAACUAUGUAUUGGGGGAGGUUUGGGGAGAAGAAGAAAAAAAGAAGAUUUGCAACAGAUGUUAGCUCAGGGCCAAUCUUUAAAAAUAAAGAAUGAAAGGGAUUUAAUGAUUAGUAGAGCAUUACUCUUAGUCUCGGUUUUUGUAUCUGUAAAAUGGGUAUCUCAUGCUGUUAUCAUGAGAU
RNAcentral lists this long non-coding RNA (958 nucleotides) under Equus asinus (donkey). RNAcentral describes it as "lncRNA (ENSEASG00005027420.1, ENSEASG00020010971.1)". The record is from RNAcentral. Lineage: Eukaryota; Metazoa; Chordata; Mammalia; Perissodactyla; Equidae.